This 271-nucleotide unclassified non-coding RNA is filed under the name Hevea brasiliensis (rubber tree). The record is from RNAcentral. Lineage: Eukaryota; Viridiplantae; Streptophyta; Magnoliopsida; Malpighiales; Euphorbiaceae.
GAAUCAGCUAUUCUUAAACGCCGAUGGGCUCAAAUUCUUAUGGAGAAUGCGGAUUUGGCAAUUUACCAAGCUAAAAUGGCACUCACAAUUGCCGAAGGUGCCCACAUAGCCAAUUCAACGGAUAUGGCUGUCCAAGACUUCUUUGAUUGACGGGCAUGGUUAUAUAUAAUACUUCUUGAGAUGGCCAGUUAUUAUUACCGGAAGGAUGAUGGCCUCACAGAUGUUUUUGAAGCCUGGAGGACAACCGUUGCAGAAAGUAUUGUAAUUUUGU